GACGAACGCUGGCGGCGUGCUUAACACAUGCAAGUCGAACGGAAAGGCCCUGCUUUUGUGGGGUGCUCGAGUGGCGAAUGGGUGAGUAACACGUGAGUAACCUGCCCUUGACUUUGGGAUAACUUCAGGAAACUGGGGCUAAUACCUGAUAGGAGCUCCUGCUGCAUGGUGGGGGUUGGAAAGUUUCGGCGGUUGGGGAUGGACUCGCGGCUUAUCAGCUUGUUGGUGGGGUAGUGGCUUACCAAGGCUUUGACGGGUAGCCGGCCUGAGAGGGUGACCGGCCACAUUGGGACUGAGAUACGGCCCAGACUCCUACGGGAGGCAGCAGUGGGGAAUAUUGCACAAUGGGCGGAAGCCUGAUGCAGCAACGCCGCGUGCGGGAUGACGGCCUUCGGGUUGUAAACCGCUUUCGCCUGUGACGAAGCGUGAGUGACGGUAAUGGGUAAAGAAGCACCGGCUAACUACGUG
RNAcentral lists this ribosomal RNA (468 nucleotides) under uncultured bacterium. RNAcentral's name for it is "partial 16S ribosomal RNA". It matches the Rfam family "Bacterial small subunit ribosomal RNA", at positions 28 to 507 of the family's 1533-position model. The record is from RNAcentral.